AUGGCCUCCACCGCCCAGCUUCUCGGCCACCUCGCCGGCUCCACCGCCACAGCCAGCCUUAGCUUCACGCCUGUCAGCGGCGGCGGCAGCAGCAAGGUCAGGUUCCUGCCGGCGACGGCGCAGAGGCGCCGCGUGGUGGCGCGCCCGCGGGCCGCGGUGUCCGGCGCGGAGAAGGAGAAGGCCAAGCCGGCCGAGUCCGGAAGCAAGGAGGACGAGCGCGUGGUGCAGGUGCACAGCGCGGAGGAGUUCGACAGCGCGCUCCAGAAGGCCAAGAACAGGCUGGUGGUGGUGGAGUUCGCGGCGAGCCACAGCGUGAACAGCAAGCGCAUCUACCCGUGCAUGGUGGACCUCAGCCGCACCUGCGGCGACGUCGACUUCCUCCUCGUCAUGGGCGACGAGUCGGAGGCCACGCGGGAGCUGUGCCAGCGGGAGGGCAUCACCCAGGUGCCGCACUUCUCCUUCUACAAGGGCACCGAGAAGGUGCACGAGGAGGAGGGCAUCGGCCCCGACCAGCUCGCCGGCGACGUUCUCUACUACGGCGACAACCACGCCGGCGUCGUGCAGCUGCACAACCGGGCGGACGUGGAGGCGCUCAUGGCCGAGAACAGCGGCGAGGACGGCAAGCUGCUGGUGCUGGACGUCGGGCUCAAGCACUGCGGGCCCUGCGUCAAGGUCUACCCCACCGUCGUCAAGCUCUCCCGCUCCAUGGCCGACACCGCCGUCUUCGCGCGCAUGAACGGCGACGAGAACGACGCAUGCAUGCAGUUCCUCAAGGACAUGGAGGUCGUCGAGGUGCCCACCUUCCUCUUCAUCAGGGACAAGAAAAUCGUGGGCCGCUACGUCGGCUCCGGCAAGGGCGAGCUCAUCGGCGAGAUCCUCCGCUACCAGGGCGUCAGGGUCACAUACUAA
Molecule: ribosomal RNA, 909 nt
Filed under: Triticum aestivum (bread wheat)
Lineage: Eukaryota; Viridiplantae; Streptophyta; Magnoliopsida; Poales; Poaceae
Description: partial small subunit ribosomal RNA
Source: RNAcentral